GAUGAACGCUGGCGGCGUGCCUAAUACAUGCAAGUCGAACGAAACUUCUUUAUCACCGAGUGCUUGCACUCACCGAUAAAGAGUUGAGUGGCGAACGGGUGAGUAACACGUGGGCAACCUGCCCAAAAGAGGGGGAUAACACUUGGAAACAGGUGCUAAUACCGCAUAACCAUAGUUACCGCAUGGUAACUAUGUAAAAGGUGGCUAUACUACCGCUUUUGGAUGGGCCCGCGGCGCAUUAGCUAGUUGGUAGGGUAAAGGCUUACCAAGGCAAUGAUGCGUAGCCGAAUUGAGAGGUUGAUCGGCCACAUUGGGACUGAGACACGGCCCAAACUCCUACGGGAGGCAGCAGUAGGGAAUCUUCCACAAUGGGCGAAAGCCUGAUGGAGCAACGCCGCGUGGGUGAAGAAGGUCUUCGGAUCGUAAAACCCUGCUGUUAGAGAAGAAAGUGCGUGAGAGUAACUGUUCACGUUUCGACGGUAUCUAACCAGAAAGCCACUGCUAACUACGUG
RNAcentral lists this ribosomal RNA (512 nucleotides) under uncultured bacterium. Its description in RNAcentral is "partial 16S ribosomal RNA". It matches the Rfam family "Bacterial small subunit ribosomal RNA", at positions 28 to 507 of the family's 1533-position model. The record is from RNAcentral.